This 974-nucleotide long non-coding RNA is filed under the name Nicotiana tabacum (common tobacco). Its description in RNAcentral is "long non-coding RNA (NTAB_LNC011934)". Lineage: Eukaryota; Viridiplantae; Streptophyta; Magnoliopsida; Solanales; Solanaceae. The record is from RNAcentral.
ACAUAUAAUAAGCAUACUUGUAUGUUUAUAUCAAGUUCAUCACUUCAAACUGAAAUUAAUCAGUCAAUAUUACAUGUCUUUAAUUACCCUGCUAGAUGCUUCAGCAUAAGCAUAUCUUAUGCAGUGAGAGCAUAUGUUAGAACUGGAAUAUCUCAUUUUGUACAGUUAGUGGGCAUUGAAAGUCAGUCAAAGUCGAUGUCAUGUUAGUUACAGGGUAUUGUUCUUCUAUCUGCAAAACAGACAAUGAGAGAAAAAGGUUUAUAAGACUGACUACUUUAAUUUAAAACAAAACAAAAAAAUAAUCAAAAUUAAUCUUUGUUGUGUCUUACCUUAUCCUGUAAAUAUUUGUUUGCAGCUUGUAGUAUCCCUUCCUAAUAUAAAGGUAAAAACAUGUUUAGUAAAGGAUGCAUUAAAGAUAGCUACCAUAUAUAAUAUUGUUUAGCAACUUCAUAUCACACUUCAAGAUAUCAAUAUUUGUCAAUAAAAGCCUAUAAUUCAUCUCAUUUUUUAAGUAGAACAAACUCCACUAUUACAAAAGUAGCAUAAUAAUUCAAGCUAUUAAGCAUAUACUCACACUUUCAUAUAUGCUAUUUAUUGUAAUUUUAGUGAUUUUUACAUAUAAAUUUAUGCCCCGCAUUGAAAGUACUAGGUUCAGCUGAACCCGAUAACUAUAUGUUGCAUCCGCUCCUGUGUAAAAGUCUUCUACUUGCAGCUAAUAUCACAAUUUACAAAAUAUAUAUAAAUGACAUUUGCAUUUAUAAUAUUAUUAUUUAAAGACCAGUUGGCCAAACUUAUAAAAUCUGCUUAUUUUAAAUAUUUUUUGUUAAAUUAGAUUUUUAGAGAAGCAAGUUGGAAGUAGCAGCUUGCAUUUCAACAAUCCGUUUAAGACGCACUUUUCUCAGUAUUACAAAAAUAGCUUUGUUUUGUUAAUAUUACUAAAAGGCGCUUUUGAGUGUCAAACUAUGAAAAGGUCA